CCUGGUAGCGGGGGAGUAACUAUUGGAAACGAUAGCUAAUACCGCAUAAUAUUGAUUAUUUGCAUGAUAAUUGAUUGAAAGAUGCUAUUGCAUCACUACCAGAUGGACCUGCGUUGUAUUAGCUAGUGGGUGAGGUAACGGCUCACCUAGGCGACGAUACAUAGCCGACCUGAGAGGGUGAUCGGCCACACUGGGACUGAGACACGGCCCAG
RNAcentral lists this ribosomal RNA (212 nucleotides) under uncultured bacterium. Its description in RNAcentral is "partial 16S ribosomal RNA". It matches the Rfam family "Bacterial small subunit ribosomal RNA", at positions 129 to 334 of the family's 1533-position model. The record is from RNAcentral.